This 69-nucleotide transfer RNA is filed under the name Ictidomys tridecemlineatus (thirteen-lined ground squirrel). Its description in RNAcentral is "Spermophilus tridecemlineatus (thirteen-lined ground squirrel) tRNA". It matches the Rfam family "tRNA". From Rfam's summary of the family: Transfer RNA (tRNA) molecules are approximately 80 nucleotides in length. Their secondary structure includes four short double-helical elements and three loops (D, anti-codon, and T loops). Lineage: Eukaryota; Metazoa; Chordata; Mammalia; Rodentia; Sciuridae. The record is from Rfam by way of RNAcentral.
GGGGUUGUAGUUCAGUGGCAGAACACUUGCCUGGCAAGUGAGGGGCACUGGGUUUGAUCCUCAGCACCA